UGGGGAAUAUUGGACAAUGGGCGCAAGCCUGAUCCAGCCAUGCCGCGUGAGUGAUGAAGGCCCUAGGGUUGUAAAGCUCUUUCACCGGUGAAGAUAAUGACGGUAACCGGAGAAGAAGCCCCGGCUAACUUCGUGCCAGCAGCCGCGGUAAUACGAAGGGGGCUAGCGUUGUUCGGAAUUACUGGGCGUAAAGCGCACGUAGGCGGACAUUUAAGUCAGGGGUGAAAUCCCGGGGCUCAACCCCGGAACUGCCUUUGAUACUGGGUGUCUAGAGUAUGGAAGAGGUGAGUGGAAUUCCGAGUGUAGAGGUGAAAUUCGUAGAUAUUCGGAGGAACACCAGUGGCGAAGGCGGCUCACUGGUCCAUUACUGACGCUGAGGUGCGAAAGCGUGGGGAGCAAACAGG
RNAcentral lists this ribosomal RNA (404 nucleotides) under Acidobacteriota bacterium. RNAcentral's name for it is "Acidobacteria bacterium partial 16S ribosomal RNA". It matches the Rfam family "Bacterial small subunit ribosomal RNA", at positions 355 to 776 of the family's 1533-position model. Lineage: Bacteria; Pseudomonadati; Acidobacteriota. The record is from RNAcentral. RNAcentral also lists the same sequence under 2 other names.